AGUGAACGCUGGCGGUAGGCCUAACACAUGCGAGUCGAACGGCAGCACAGUAAGAGCUUGCUCUUACGGGUGGCGAGUGGCGGACGGGUGAGGAAUACAUCGGAAUCUACUUUUUCGUGGGGGAUAACGUAGGGAAACUUACGCUAAUACCGCAUACGACCUACGGGUGAAAGUAGGGGAUCUUCGGACCUUGCGCGAUUGAAUGAGCCGAUGUCGGAUUAGCUAGUUGGCGGGGUAAAGGCCCACCAAGGCGACGAUCCGUAGCUGGUCUGAGAGGAUGAUCAGCCACACUGGAACUGAGACACGGUCCAGACUCCUACGGGAGGCAGCAGUGGGGAAUAUUGGACAAUGGGCGCAAGCCUGAUCCAGCCAUACCGCGUGGGUGAAGAAGGCCCUCGGGUUGUAAAGCCCUUUUGUUGGGAAAGAAAAGCAGCAGGUUAAUACCCCGCUGUUCUGACGGUACCCAAAGAAUAAGCACCGGCUAACUUCGUG
RNAcentral lists this ribosomal RNA (492 nucleotides) under uncultured bacterium. Its description in RNAcentral is "partial 16S ribosomal RNA". It matches the Rfam family "Bacterial small subunit ribosomal RNA", at positions 29 to 507 of the family's 1533-position model. The record is from RNAcentral.